Aedes albopictus (Asian tiger mosquito) is the source of this 72-nucleotide non-coding RNA. The record is from Rfam. NCBI's taxonomy places the organism in Eukaryota, Metazoa, Arthropoda, Insecta, Diptera, Culicidae.
GGCUCGGUAGCUUAGUUGGUAAACCACUUGUCUAGCGAAUAAGGGUCGUGAGUUCAAAUCUCACCUGGGCUG